GAUGAACGCUGGCGGCGUGCCUAAUACAUGCAAGUCGAGCGAACAGACGAGGAGCUUGCUCCUCUGACGUUAGCGGCGGACGGGUGAGUAACACGUGGAUAACCUACCUAUAAGACUGGGAUAACUUCGGGAAACCGGAGCUAAUACCGGAUAACAUGUUGAACCGCAUGGUUCAACAGUGAAAGACGGUCUUGCUGUCACUUAUAGAUGGAUCCGCGCCGCAUUAGCUAGUUGGUAAGGUAACGGCUUACCAAGGCAACGAUGCGUAGCCGACCUGAGAGGGUGAUCGGCCACACUGGAACUGAGACACGGUCCAGACUCCUACGGGAGGCAGCAGUAGGGAAUCUUCCGCAAUGGGCGAAAGCCUGACGGAGCAACGCCGCGUGAGUGAAGAAGGUCUUCGGAUCGUAAAACUCUGUUAUUAGGGAAGAACAAAUGUGUAAGUAACUAUGCACGUCUUGACGGUACCUAAUCAGAAAGCCCCGGCUAACUACGUG
RNAcentral lists this ribosomal RNA (497 nucleotides) under uncultured bacterium. RNAcentral's name for it is "partial 16S ribosomal RNA". It matches the Rfam family "Bacterial small subunit ribosomal RNA", at positions 28 to 507 of the family's 1533-position model. The record is from RNAcentral.